UAAGGAAUAUUGCUCAAUGGGAGAAAUCCUGAAGCAGCAACGCCGCGUGGAGGAUGAAGGGUCUAUGACUUGUAAACUCCUGUAAAGAAGGAAAAAAUUCCCAUUAGAUGGGAGAUGAUGGUACUUCUGGAGUAAGCCCCGGCUAACUACGUGCCAGCAGCCGCGGUAAUACGUAGGGGGCAAGCGUUGUCCGGAUUUACUGGGUGUAAAGGGCGCUCAGGCGGAUUUGUAAGUCAGAGGUGAAAUCUUACAGCUUAACUGUGAAACUGCCUUUGAUACUGCAAGCCUAGAGUAUGGAAGAGAGUGAUGGAAUAUCUGGUGUAGCAGUGAAAUGCGUAGAUAUCAGAUAGAACACCAAUGGCGAAGGCAGUCACUUGGUCCAUUACUGACGCUAAAGCACGAAAGCGUGGGUAGCAAACA
Molecule: ribosomal RNA, 420 nt
Filed under: uncultured bacterium
Lineage: Bacteria
Description: bacterial SSU rRNA
Rfam family: Bacterial small subunit ribosomal RNA
Source: RNAcentral